RNAcentral lists this long non-coding RNA (371 nucleotides) under Mytilus galloprovincialis (Mediterranean mussel). Lineage: Eukaryota; Metazoa; Mollusca; Bivalvia; Mytilida; Mytilidae. The record is from RNAcentral.
UGCUGUAAUCUUAACCAUCUUGCUUUGAAAAGUAAAUAGUUUAAUAGAUGAAAAAACGCUUUGCAAACUCAAUAUCUGAUGUAAGUUUUUGAUUGUUUUUGAAAGCCUUAUUGCAACGAAUAACAUCAAUACACAUGAAUCCAUAUCGUGGCCAUGUGUGGAUGGGGGAAAUGUGUUAUAUCAAUUGUAAAUUGGUCGUGUUUUACAUUUCUCCAGCUUUCAACAUUUUUUGUUUAGAGUGCUCCUGAUGACAAUAAAAAAAGACAACAAAAAAGACAAUAACGCAUAUAGUGUGAUUUACUUUUGAAAGUAGAUGCUUCUUGUGACAGCUUUUGAGAUUUGGAAAUAACUUUCAGAAAUUGAAAAAAGAC